RNAcentral lists this ribosomal RNA (298 nucleotides) under uncultured Pseudomonas sp. RNAcentral describes it as "partial 16S ribosomal RNA". It matches the Rfam family "Bacterial small subunit ribosomal RNA", at positions 1085 to 1382 of the family's 1533-position model. Lineage: Bacteria; Pseudomonadati; Pseudomonadota; Gammaproteobacteria; Pseudomonadales; Pseudomonadaceae. The record is from RNAcentral.
UCCCGUAACGAGCGCAACCCUUGUCCUUAGUUACCAGCACGUUAUGGUGGGCACUCUAAGGAGACUGCCGGUGACAAACCGGAGGAAGGUGGGGAUGACGUCAAGUCAUCAUGGCCCUUACGGCCUGGGCUACACACGUGCUACAAUGGUCGGUACAAAGGGUUGCCAAGCCGCGAGGUGGAGCUAAUCCCAUAAAACCGAUCGUAGUCCGGAUCGCAGUCUGCAACUCGACUGCGUGAAGUCGGAAUCGCUAGUAAUCGUGAAUCAGAAUGUCACGGUGAAUACGUUCCCGGGCCUU